Helianthus annuus (common sunflower) is the source of this 694-nucleotide long non-coding RNA. RefSeq lists it as uncharacterized. The record is from RefSeq and is a predicted model, not a curated record. The transcript has 2 exons. Lineage: Eukaryota; Viridiplantae; Streptophyta; Magnoliopsida; Asterales; Asteraceae.
AUCCUACCUUCUUCUUCCCCUCACUCCACCCUUUAAGAUUCGUCCACCACCGCCACCUCCCCAAACCACAACCACCGUACAUUACCAUCACCAACCACCAUAUCCCCAAACCACCUUCAUCAUCUCCGUCACAACCACUAGUCCACCACCCAUCUCCGGCUUCGGACCUGCUGUGACACUCAUAAUAACCAACAACCACAACCCACACCACCCUCAACUAACUACCGGAAAACGACCACACCAGCCGCCUCCCUUGCUUCCCUCACCGUAAACCACCACUCCAUUCGCCCCCCUUAUCGUUCGACUACCAAAUGCUGCAACCCAUACGACAUUUCAGGGCAUCCAUGAAAAUAAUGGUUUCUCCGACACAUUUUCUGGUGUAAAUUAUUCGCAAUUGUCAGGAGAUCUAGCUUACGUUGUCUUAAUCGGGUCCACACUAGAAAGCCUCCUCGCAUAAUGGAUCCCCAAUUUAAACCCCUCAAUGAGAAACACCUGUCACCCAGACUCGAACAUGAGACUUGGAGGGGAAAACUCAUCCGGGCCCACCAUAGGUGGAACUUAAAGGCCCGUGGUCACCACUAAACCACUAGGGAUGGUUCUUUAAGGUUAUUAUAUAGGUUUGAUUUCUUUUUAGUUUGUGUUCAGUUCUUGUAUGCAAUUUGAUUUGACAUAUAUGUUUAUUUGUUUAUAUCAA